AUUGAACGCUGGCGGCAGGCCUAACACAUGCAAGUCGAGCGGAUGAAGGGAGCUUGCUCCUGGAUUCAGUGGCGGAGGGGUGAGUAAUGCCUAGGAAUCUGCCUGGUAGUGGGGGAUAACGUCCGGAAACGGGCGCUAAUACCGCAUACGUCCUGAGGGAGAAAGUGGGGGAUCUUCGGACCUCACGCUCUCAGAUGAGCCUAGGUCGGAUUAGCUAGUUGGUGGGGUAAAGGCCUACCAAGGCGACGAUCCGUAGCUGGUCUGAGAGGAUGAUCAGUCACACUGGAACUGAGACACGGUCCAGACUCCUACGGGAGGCAGCAGUGGGGAAUAUUGGACAAUGGGCGAAAGCCUGAUCCAGCCAUGCCGCGUGUGUGAAGAAGGUCUUCGGAUUGUAAAGCACUUUUAGUUGGGAGGAAGGGCAGUAAGUUAAUACCUUGCUGUUUUGACGUUACCAACAGAAUAAGCACCGGCUAACUUCGUG
RNAcentral lists this ribosomal RNA (484 nucleotides) under uncultured bacterium. Its description in RNAcentral is "partial 16S ribosomal RNA". It matches the Rfam family "Bacterial small subunit ribosomal RNA", at positions 30 to 507 of the family's 1533-position model. The record is from RNAcentral.